Molecule: transfer RNA, 95 nt
Filed under: Glossina brevipalpis
Lineage: Eukaryota; Metazoa; Arthropoda; Insecta; Diptera; Glossinidae
Description: tRNA tRNA-Tyr
Rfam family: tRNA
About the family: Transfer RNA (tRNA) molecules are approximately 80 nucleotides in length. Their secondary structure includes four short double-helical elements and three loops (D, anti-codon, and T loops). Further hydrogen bonds mediate the characteristic L-shaped molecular structure. tRNAs have two regions of fundamental functional importance: the anti-codon, which is responsible for specific mRNA codon recognition, and the 3' end, to which the tRNAs corresponding amino acid is attached (by aminoacyl-tRNA synthetases). tRNAs cope with the degeneracy of the genetic code in two manners: having more than one tRNA (with a specific anti-codon) for a particular amino acid; and 'wobble' base-pairing, i.e. permitting non-standard base-pairing at the 3rd anti-codon position.
Source: RNAcentral
CCUUCGAUAGCUCAGUUGGUAGAGCGGUGGACUGUAGAAAUGCAAAUAAUGAUAGAGAAAUCCAUAGGUCGCUGGUUCAAAUCCGGCUCGAAGGA